This 137-nucleotide small nucleolar RNA is filed under the name Corchorus olitorius. Its description in RNAcentral is "Small nucleolar RNA snoR111". It matches the Rfam family "Small nucleolar RNA snoR111". The record is from Rfam by way of RNAcentral. Lineage: Eukaryota; Viridiplantae; Streptophyta; Magnoliopsida; Malvales; Malvaceae.
ACAAAAGUGAGGAGGCAGUUUAUAUAAGGUUGUCUCUUCAUGGGAAAGAACUUUGAGGUAUAUCAAAAUCAAAGGCCGAGAAGUCGUUUUAGUCGUCAUUUUUCUCCAUUGGCGGUCUGAUUGUUGCUCGUCCACAC